RNA transcript from Myotis lucifugus (little brown bat), 740 nucleotides. It is a transcript of the gene named mitochondrial import inner membrane translocase subunit Tim9 pseudogene, with no coding region annotated. The transcript has a single exon. NCBI's taxonomy places the organism in Eukaryota, Metazoa, Chordata, Mammalia, Chiroptera, Vespertilionidae. The record is from RefSeq and is a predicted model, not a curated record.
CCCUCCACCCCCGGACUCGACUGGCAGCGCAGCCCCCCCAGCCUCGUACUGUUGUCGGAAGCGAGAGCCUGUGCUUAAGUGACUAAUAAAGGUACCGAAAGAAUAUGGCUGCACAAAUUCCAGAAUCUGAUCAGAUAAAACAGUUUAAAGAAUUUCUUGGAACCUACAAUAAACUUACAGAAACCUGCUUUUUGGACUGUGUUAAAGACUUCACAACAAGAGAAGUAAAACCUGAAGAGACCACCUGUUCAGAACAUUGCUUACAGAAAUAUUUAAAAAUGACGCAAAGAAUAUCCAUAAGAUUUCAGGAAUAUCAUAUUCAGCAGAAUGAAGCCCUGGCAGCCAAAGCAGGACUCCUUGGCCAGCCACGAUAGAGACGUCCUGAGGGGUGGACUUUCCCUGAAAGGUUGCCAAUAGCUUUGCACUGGAAGUGAGGAUUCAUCUGAUAGAAUCCCCUGAAAGCAGUAGCCACCAUGUUAACCAUCUGUCAUGACUGGCAAAUGGAAACCACUGGAGAAACAAAAUUGCUAUUUACCAGGGAUAAUCAAAAUAGAAGGUCUUACUGUCCAAUCAAAAUGUAAGAUGCAACAUUUGUUGAGGCCUUAUGAUUCAGGAGCUUAGUCACUUGAUUAGAAAAAUAAACCAUUAUUUCUUCAAUAGUGACUAUUAAUUUUAAAGCAAAAUCAUGAAUGAGAUAGAAACAAUUUUUAUUUCUAAAAGUUAAAUAAAUGGAAAUAUCA